RNAcentral lists this transfer RNA (83 nucleotides) under Acidobacteriota bacterium. Its description in RNAcentral is "Acidobacteria bacterium tRNA-Met". Lineage: Bacteria; Pseudomonadati; Acidobacteriota. The record is from RNAcentral.
GGGACAAAAGCAUCGAAUUAUCGGUAGUGACGUGCGGACUCAUAAUCCGUUGGUCCUAGGUUCAAAUCCUAGCGGGCCCACCA